RNAcentral lists this signal recognition particle RNA (266 nucleotides) under Andreesenia angusta. Its description in RNAcentral is "Eubacterium angustum Bacterial large signal recognition particle RNA". It matches the Rfam family "Bacterial large signal recognition particle RNA". Rfam says of the family: The signal recognition particle (SRP) is a universally conserved ribonucleoprotein involved in the co-translational targeting of proteins to membranes. The record is from Rfam by way of RNAcentral. Lineage: Bacteria; Bacillati; Bacillota; Tissierellia; Tissierellales; Gottschalkiaceae.
CCAUGCUAGAUGGGGAGGUAGCGGUGCCCUGUAACCUGCAAUCCGCUAUAGCAGGAUUGAACUCCUAUUGGAGGCUUGAGUAUUUUGGGGUCUGCCCCAAGUAAGUGGUGUUGAAGUUUGGGUCCUACGCAAUAGAAGCUCAUGAACCCCGUCAGAUCCGGAAGGAAGCAGCGGUAAGUGGUCACUUUUAUGUGCCGUGGGGUCGCCUGAAUGGAGCUAACUGCUUGGGUAACGUUUGGGAUCUCAAGUCGAAUUUGGGUGCAUGG